AAGGAGUGAAGGAGGCCACCUGG
This 23-nucleotide non-coding RNA is filed under the name Cricetulus griseus (Chinese hamster). The record is from RNAcentral. Lineage: Eukaryota; Metazoa; Chordata; Mammalia; Rodentia; Cricetidae.